CUUCCCCUACCCUCCCACCUCUUCCUCCUUCUCCCCUUCCUUCACCCUCCUCUUACCCUAUUCCUCAUUUGCAUGCAUCACCUCCCUGCGCCCCCCCCCCUCCCCCCUCACAGGUGCGUGCGUCUUUCACCGGGAAGGAGCCCCUCAUAUUACCUGCCAUUACUUCACUAUCAUCACCUGUCUCACCUGGUCUCCUGUAGCAUCAAGUACCUGUCUCACCUGGUCUCCUGUAGCAUCAAGUACCUGUCUCACCUGGUCUCCUGUAGCAUCAAGUACCUGUCUCACCUGGUCUCCUGUAGCAUCAAGUACCUGUCUCACCUGGUCUCCUGUAGCAUCAAGUACCUGUCUCACCUGGUCUGAGCUCUAGAAACUCCGUGUGUAGUCAGGACAACUCUCUCUCUCUCUCUAGGUCCUAGGACAACCCGAGAUCCUACCUCUUAUAAACACUAGGAAAAGACAAACAGGACAAAGGAGAGGAAAAAAGAGUAUCACCAAGACAACCACAAACUCAACCAUGACAACCAAGACAUUAACCACGAUGUUGCAGUGAAAAUGAAGGACAACAGAGGACAAUAAACAGAGACGUGAGGAAAAGAAAUAAACGGCACCUGAUUCACCUACUGGGCACCUGAUUCACCUGUUGGGCACCUGAUUCACCUGCUGGGUACCUGAUUCACCUGCUGGGUACCUGAGAUUCCUGAUGGGUUCCAACGUCAGCCGCUGCACCAAGAGGAGAGGAAGUAACUGUGCUCUCCCUACUGAUGCCUCAGGUCGUCGUGUGCUGAGGACGCCUAGUAUGUGGUCCAAUAUGACGCUCACCCUCACCACCUCAGGCCCUAAGCGUACAUCUGAUGUCCGCAGCCGCUGUGCCUCCCUCACCAACUUCUCCACUAGGCUACGGGGCGUCUGAUUGGUCCAUUGAUGUUUGGACGUCACACCGAAACUUUGGCGACGGGGUGUGUGAUUGGUCUGUUAAUGCCAUGAUGUCAAGCCUCACCAGACUACGGGAUGUCCGAUUGGUCCAUUGGUGUUUUAACGUCACUUCUCGCCUGGAACAUAGAAAACGGGAAUCCAAUCAAAGUAAUAGUGACAGCUGGUGCCUGUGUUUAGCUGUUUUAAGGCUAAUGAACUUCUGUAACUGUACAUUAUGAACACAGGAUGUCAUAAUAACCGAUAAAACUCUUAAUAUUUAGGGGCAGAAUGUUUUUUAUCACAUAGAGGUGAUUCCCUCUCAUGGUCGAGGUCACUAGGGGAUCUUUAGCUGCGUGACAUCAUUUUAACGUCAUAGCCGUUUCCCGCCUCUCAUUGGUCGUGGAGUUGUGUAUAUAUUGUGGGUUUAAGUGAAUAUAACUGAUAACUAUGAAAUGAUACACAGACAUUGAUAAACAGACCCAUUGAAGGAAGAGAUGGAGAGGAAAACACAGAGACGGGUGAAGAGAGACUGAGAGAAAACACCUGAGAGACGCUAAUUUGGCCCGAAGGAACACCAACUCACCUGAUCUUGAGUUUCUAAUGACGAAACAAAUCCACUUCAGCAGGUUGGUGGACGGAACGAGAGGAAGACUUAGUGCAGAGAAUGAUAACAGGAGGAAGAGAUGAGUUGCAGACGACACCUCGGCUUGGGGUCUUGAAUGAUAAGAGUCACACGCUGAGGAACUGAAGAAGGGAGGAGGGGAGAUGGCUGAAGAAGGCGAGGAAGAUAAUAAUGAACUGUAACUAUACAACUAACUGGAGGAAGAAGUGGAAGCUACCGGAAGUGACAGUCAUGACGAACUACAGUAAUGGCGAGUGAUAUUACAGUCAUGACGAGUUACAGUCAUGGCGAGUGAUAUUAAACCGAAAAAAAAAUUAAAAGAUGGCGCUGUAUUAAUACCUUGAACCUCGGGGAGUGGGAGUGGAGUGGGGAAUGGGAGUGGGAGUGGGGAGUAACCUGU
Molecule: long non-coding RNA, 1934 nt
Organism: Homarus americanus (American lobster)
Lineage: Eukaryota; Metazoa; Arthropoda; Malacostraca; Decapoda; Nephropidae
Exons: 3
Source: RefSeq, a predicted model, not a curated record